Molecule: non-coding RNA, 2164 nt
Organism: Callithrix jacchus (white-tufted-ear marmoset)
Lineage: Eukaryota; Metazoa; Chordata; Mammalia; Primates; Cebidae
Source: RefSeq, a predicted model, not a curated record
CUCUUCUGGUGCAAUGUCUACAAAAUUGACUCUCUGAGUAACAACUGUCUAUUUGGUGCUGUGCUGAAUGUUGUAAGCUCACUGCAGCCUCUGCCUCCUGGGCUCAAGCAAUCCUCCCACCUCAGCCUCCCAAAUUGCUGGGACUAUGGUGCAAACCACCACACCCAGGAGCAUGGCGGGUAUAAUUAACAACACUUCAUUGAAAGAUGAAUAACUGAGGGUCAGAAAGGCAGUCUGCCCAGGAUGGCACCACUGGCAAGUCGAGGGAAUACGGACUUGAUCCUUCACCUGGACCCGAUUCCAAAAUCCACAUCCUUCCACCGUACCAUACUUCCCAUCCACGUGCACAGGAAAAUUCGGCAUCCAUUCAACGUCCUAGCCUGAAUCCCACAGGACUUUAGAGGACCACCAUGGACAGAGGGAUUUGGAAAAGAAUUUCUCUCUACAUCCUGAUUUUUAAUUUCAGGCUGGGAAAUUUAAACGCAAACACAGCAGCAUGUUUAGAAGUCCUGAUUUGCAUUAAAGCCACCUUGCAACUCAGAGCAGAUGAAUCGGGAGUCUACAGCAAGCUGACCUGACACGCGGGUACACCGUGCUCUGGAAGCACAGAGCUGGCCGCGUCCUCCCCGGAGGCCACCUCCACGUGGCUGGGCACAGAGGUGGGGCACAUACUAUUGCUUCCUCUGCCCAGCAGGGCCAAACUAAUUGCUGCUGCCCAGUUCCGGGCACCACACUCUAAGAACUUGCUCCAUAGGCACAUUUGAUGGCUUUGUGGAAAGAAAGGAUGUGGCAACUUAGGCAAAGCAGGGAAAUCAUGGCUCAUUCCAGCUGCUGCUCUGCUCCUGAGGAAAGUGGGCGGUGGGGUCGGCCUGAUUCAGCACAAAGUUGUUUCUGGCCCAGCACAGUUCUCUGUCCAACAGGAUGGAUCCUGGAAGGCUUUGCGUGGGGGGAGCUGGGGAGCAGGGUUACUGCAGUUUAAGAAAAGCUAGACAAAUAAAAACAACAACCUUGACAGCGAACACCAAUCCCCCAAGAUACCCCAACUACUCCAACACGUGCCUCGACCUCACUCAAAAUGCUCUUCCCAGAACCAACUUUAGCCAAGAGCAGAGAAUGCAGCUGCUGGCAAUGCUGGAUUUCAGAAAGGUGGGAGCAGGGACUUGCCGGAAGAUACUCACAGAAGACAGGGGAAGAUCAAUCUGCAGCGUGUCUGCCAAUUUCUGUGGUAUAAAUAUUGUGCAAGGUGGCGUGCACUGACUUGAAAAAUUCCUGAAAGUUUAACAGUUGGUUCCCUCUCUGCUGGGGUCUUUCUGUUUGACUCACAGAUGCCUGAAAUUCCUUACAUGAGGGACAAAGUUUUAGAUCCCCCAAUUAGAGAUGAGCACUGAGGCACUGGGAGAGGUGGCGCCUUCCCAUGGCAUGGGGGGGACUGAGGACCAAUUCUUCAGCACACGUGACUGGUGGGCAGGGGAAAGAUGACCACUCACAGGCAGCGGGGACGCGAAACCUUCCCCUCUUCUGUUCCCGCCAGUCAACCGUCCUGCGUGAACAGAGGGGAAACUCCCUCCCACACCUGACUGCUCACAGAGGUCGUUCUGACGGAAUGCUUUCCACACUCAGGAUUCUCUUUUAAAGGGAGGGGCUGAAAAAGGAAGGAACCAAUGGCUCCCAGAAGGAACUGUUUUCUAAUGUAUUUUCAAAGGGCCAGGGCCUUUUUGGAUCAUAGUUUAAAACUCACACCCCUGGCUGGUGGCGCAACCCAAGCCUGGCACGGGACCAGGUAGCUGGGCGGCAGACGCCUUCCACCUCUUAGCCAUGUCCCCGUGCUAUGCGGGUCACCACUCUGACACCAGAUUUGCAAGAUCUGGGAUGGGGUGACAUUAGAGCUCAGCUCAUUCUAUGCGUGCUCUUUGCAUGUGUCUUCUGGUGGCUGCUCUUCCAGGUUUCUUGACUGCAAACCUACCUUUGACAAUUUGGAAGAACAGGACCACGGGACGCUUCAUACUGUUAGUGUGCUUCACCGUUUUCUGGCUUUUGGGUUAAUUUUCUCCCCAGUUAGGCCAAAAGCUCCCUGACGGCAGGGAUCUUACCCACGGAAGAAAGAAAAGGAGUGCUUACCAGUUCCUCCAGGUGGCCCAGGAGCAGCACGGUGAGUCAGGGAAUG